RNAcentral lists this ribosomal RNA (233 nucleotides) under Helicobacter pylori. RNAcentral describes it as "partial 16S ribosomal RNA". It matches the Rfam family "Bacterial small subunit ribosomal RNA", at positions 405 to 655 of the family's 1533-position model. Lineage: Bacteria; Pseudomonadati; Campylobacterota; Epsilonproteobacteria; Campylobacterales; Helicobacteraceae. The record is from RNAcentral.
AGGAUGAAGGUUUAAGGAUUGUAAACUCCUUUUGUUAGAGAAGAUAAUGACGGUAUCUAACGAAUAAGCACCGGCUAACUCCGUGCCAGCAGCCGCGGUAAUACGGAGGGUGCAAGCGUUACUCGGAAUCACUGGGCGUAAAGAGCGCGUAGGCGGGAUAGUCAGUCAGGUGUGAAAUCCUAUGGCUUAACCAUAGAACUGCAUUUGAAACUACUAUUCUAGAGUGUGGGAGA